Molecule: ribosomal RNA, 402 nt
Filed under: uncultured bacterium
Lineage: Bacteria
Description: bacterial SSU rRNA
Rfam family: Bacterial small subunit ribosomal RNA
Source: RNAcentral
UGGGGAAUCUUGCACAAUGGGGGCAACCCUGAUGCAGCGACGCCGCGUGAGCGAUGAAGCCCUUCGGGGCGUAAAGCUCUUUCGACCGGAACGAUAAUGACGGUACCGGGAGAAGAAGCUGCGGCUAACUACGUGCCAGCAGCCGCGGUAAUACGUAGGCAGCAAGCGUUGUUCGGAGUUACUGGGCGUAAAGAGUGCGGAGGCGGUUUUCUAAGUUCGGUGUGAAAUCUCCCGGCUUAACUGGGAGGGUGCGCCGAAGACUGGGAAGCUGGAGUGUGGGAAAGGCAGGCGGAAUUCCUGGUGUAGCGGUGAAAUGCGUAGAUAUCAGGAGGAACACCGGCGGUGUAGACGGCUUGCUAGACCAUAACUGACGCUGAGGCACGAAAGCGUGGGUAGCAAACA